Molecule: long non-coding RNA, 488 nt
Organism: Chinchilla lanigera (long-tailed chinchilla)
Lineage: Eukaryota; Metazoa; Chordata; Mammalia; Rodentia; Chinchillidae
Exons: 3
Source: RefSeq, a predicted model, not a curated record
CUACUGUUUUUCAGAGCAUAAAGUAAAUAUCAGGACUACUACCAGCCAACUUAAGGAUUCGUGCAUGGAUGAGAGGUGGUUACAGCAAUAAAGGAACUUAAGGAAGCAGGAGAGACAGCCUUCAGAACUGUGAAAAAUAAAUCUAUACUGUUGAAUCUCCUCAGCCUAUGGUGUUUGGUUAUAACAACCGAGAAGACCAAGACUUGAGUCUUUCACAGAGAUAAUCAGGUUCCUAAAAGGCAUUCAUUUAGGUGGGUCCUGAUCCAAGAGACAAGCUACAAAGACAGGCAUGCACAGAAGAGACCAGGAGCAGACACACGGGGAAUAUAGGAGAAGGAAGCUUCCAGAAAUUGCUCGUAUUCCUCGGUUCAGGAGAGAAGUGAAUGGAGUACUGAAUUCCCAGCUCUACUUCCACUGUAACAACUCUGAGUCAGAUCCUCCAGUCCCUCUCUUAUAAGAACCUGUGUGAUUACAUUGGAGCCACCCAG